Molecule: long non-coding RNA, 206 nt
Filed under: Lathyrus oleraceus (garden pea)
Lineage: Eukaryota; Viridiplantae; Streptophyta; Magnoliopsida; Fabales; Fabaceae
Description: Pisum sativum (pea) long non-coding RNA (PSAT_LNC023769)
Source: RNAcentral
UCUUUUGAAAAUGAGAGAACAAGUAUUUUGUGAGUUUUCAAAUAAAAAAUGAAAGAAUUUUUUUCUAACAUUAUGAAAGGCUUGAGAGUAAAAAUUAUUUUAAACGUGCUAAAGAUGAAGCAUAAAAAUGGUGAAAAAAUCAUGUUUGAUUCGAAACAAGACAACUUAGUGAUUUAAGCCAAGUGGCAAAGUAAUGUGGAAAAAGA